AUGCUACAUUUGUUGUCUUGUGAUGUGAAUAAGGUGUCCACGUCCACAAGACAUCAACUCAUUGGGAUAAAGCAGCGUGAUACUGGAUUGGCUCCACCAAGCCAGUGGGAUCUCGUGCCUGAUAAACAGAUGAUGCUAGAGGAGCAACCAUUGCAGUGUGAUGCAGGACAGGAAGAAAUUCAAAUAGUAACAAGAGGCUUGGGCACAAAGAUCCAGGACGAUAUAUAUGCUCUAUGUAUGCAAAUCUACCUAGCGAGCUUGAAACGAAGAUUUUUGAGACAAAGAGAGGGAUAA
RNAcentral lists this ribosomal RNA (294 nucleotides) under Triticum aestivum (bread wheat). RNAcentral's name for it is "partial small subunit ribosomal RNA". The record is from RNAcentral. Lineage: Eukaryota; Viridiplantae; Streptophyta; Magnoliopsida; Poales; Poaceae.